GCCCCCUUAGCUCAGUGGAUAGAGCGCAGCCCUCCGGAGGCUGAAGCAGGUGUUCGAGUCACCUAGGGGGUACCA
RNAcentral lists this transfer RNA (75 nucleotides) under Chloroflexota bacterium. Its description in RNAcentral is "Chloroflexi bacterium tRNA-Arg". It matches the Rfam family "tRNA". Rfam says of the family: Transfer RNA (tRNA) molecules are approximately 80 nucleotides in length. Their secondary structure includes four short double-helical elements and three loops (D, anti-codon, and T loops). The record is from RNAcentral. Lineage: Bacteria; Bacillati; Chloroflexota.